Molecule: transfer RNA, 73 nt
Organism: Lachnoclostridium sp. An118
Lineage: Bacteria; Bacillati; Bacillota; Clostridia; Lachnospirales; Lachnospiraceae
Rfam family: tRNA
About the family: Transfer RNA (tRNA) molecules are approximately 80 nucleotides in length. Their secondary structure includes four short double-helical elements and three loops (D, anti-codon, and T loops).
Source: Rfam
GGGGCAUUAGCGCAGUUGGGAGCGCGCCACAUUCGCAUUGUGGAGGCCACGGGUUCGAAUCCCGUAUGCUCCA